Molecule: long non-coding RNA, 173 nt
Organism: Amphimedon queenslandica
Lineage: Eukaryota; Metazoa; Porifera; Demospongiae; Haplosclerida; Niphatidae
Exons: 3
Source: RefSeq, a predicted model, not a curated record
AGUAAACAAAAAUCAAUUUCCUUGGUCCAUUAUUCCAGUAUAUAAUUCUGUGGACAACAGAACUUCAAAGCACAAGCUAAUGGGGCGUACAAUGAUCCUAGUGUAUAAUAACUUAUAAUUCCUAUAUUUUUACAAUUUUUGGCAGCAUUUUGCCAUUUUUUGUGAUUCUUUUU